RNAcentral lists this ribosomal RNA (334 nucleotides) under uncultured eukaryote. RNAcentral's name for it is "partial 18S ribosomal RNA". It matches the Rfam family "Eukaryotic small subunit ribosomal RNA", at positions 1470 to 1796 of the family's 1831-position model. The record is from RNAcentral.
CCCUUAGAUGUUCUGGGCCGCACGCGUGCUACACUGAGUGGAUCAGCGGGUCAGGUUGCGCGAAAGCGUUUCCUAAUCUUUAAAUCCGCUCGUGAUGGGGAUUGACGGUUGCAAUUUUCUGUCAUGAACGAGGAAUACCUUGUAAGCGCGGGUCAUCAUCCCGCGCUGAAUACGUCCCUGCCCUUUGUACACACCGCCCGUCGCUCCUACCGAUUGGAUAUUCCGGUGAAAUUUUCGGAUUUGUGGGAGGUUAACUUCAACUGGCUUUGUCGGUUGAGACUCUCUGAAAAAGUUAAUUAAAUCUUAGUAUCUAGAGGAAGGAGAAGUCGUAACA